RNAcentral lists this ribosomal RNA (1386 nucleotides) under Streptococcus thermophilus. RNAcentral describes it as "16S ribosomal RNA". It matches the Rfam family "Bacterial small subunit ribosomal RNA", at positions 69 to 1442 of the family's 1533-position model. The record is from RNAcentral. Lineage: Bacteria; Bacillati; Bacillota; Bacilli; Lactobacillales; Streptococcaceae.
AAGAGAGGAGCUUGCUCUUCUUGGAUGAGUUGCGAACGGGUGAGUAACGCGUAGGUAACCUGCCUUGUAGCGGGGGAUAACUAUUGGAAACGAUAGCUAAUACCGCAUAACAAUGGAUGACACAUGUCAUUUAUUUGAAAGGGGCAAUUGCUCCACUACAAGAUGGACCUGCGUUGUAUUAGCUAGUAGGUGAGGUAAUGGCUCACCUAGGCGACGAUACAUAGCCGACCUGAGAGGGUGAUCGGCCACACUGGGACUGAGACACGGCCCAGACUCCUACGGGAGGCAGCAGUAGGGAAUCUUCGGCAAUGGGGGCAACCCUGACCGAGCAACGCCGCGUGAGUGAAGAAGGUUUUCGGAUCGUAAAGCUCUGUUGUAAGUCAAGAACGGGUGUGAGAGUGGAAAGUUCACACUGUGACGGUAGCUUACCAGAAAGGGACGGCUAACUACGUGCCAGCAGCCGCGGUAAUACGUAGGUCCCGAGCGUUGUCCGGAUUUAUUGGGCGUAAAGCGAGCGCAGGCGGUUUGAUAAGUCUGAAGUUAAAGGCUGUGGCUCAACCAUAGUUCGCUUUGGAAACUGUCAAACUUGAGUGCAGAAGGGGAGAGUGGAAUUCCAUGUGUAGCGGUGAAAUGCGUAGAUAUAUGGAGGAACACCGGUGGCGAAAGCGGCUCUCUGGUCUGUAACUGACGCUGAGGCUCGAAAGCGUGGGGAGCGAACAGGAUUAGAUACCCUGGUAGUCCACGCCGUAAACGAUGAGUGCUAGGUGUUGGAUCCUUUCCGGGAUUCAGUGCCGCAGCUAACGCAUUAAGCACUCCGCCUGGGGAGUACGACCGCAAGGUUGAAACUCAAAGGAAUUGACGGGGGCCCGCACAAGCGGUGGAGCAUGUGGUUUAAUUCGAAGCAACGCGAAGAACCUUACCAGGUCUUGACAUCCCGAUGCUAUUUCUAGAGAUAGAAAGUUACUUCGGUACAUCGGUGACAGGUGGUGCAUGGUUGUCGUCAGCUCGUGUCGUGAGAUGUUGGGUUAAGUCCCGCAACGAGCGCAACCCCUAUUGUUAGUUGCCAUCAUUCAGUUGGGCACUCUAGCGAGACUGCCGGUAAUAAACCGGAGGAAGGUGGGGAUGACGUCAAAUCAUCAUGCCCCUUAUGACCUGGGCUACACACGUGCUACAAUGGUUGGUACAACGAGUUGCGAGUCGGUGACGGCGAGCUAAUCUCUUAAAGCCAAUCUCAGUUCGGAUUGUAGGCUGCAACUCGCCUACAUGAAGUCGGAAUCGCUAGUAAUCGCGGAUCAGCACGCCGCGGUGAAUACGUUCCCGGGCCUUGUACACACCGCCCGUCACACCACGAGAGUUUGUAACACCCGAAGUCGGUGAGGUAACCUU